AGGAAGUGGGGAUGACGUCAAGUCCUCAUGGCCCUUAUGUCCAGGGCUACACACGUGCUACAAUGGCCGGUACAAAGGGCUGCAAUACCGCAAGGUGGAGCGAACCCCAAAAAGCCGGUCUCAGUUCGGAUUGGAGUCUGCAACUCGACUCCAUGAAGUUGGAAUCGCUAGUAAUCGCGGAUCAGCAUGCCGCGGUGAAUACGUUCCCGGGCCUU
Molecule: ribosomal RNA, 215 nt
Filed under: uncultured Pelobacter sp.
Lineage: Bacteria; Pseudomonadati; Thermodesulfobacteriota; Desulfuromonadia; Desulfuromonadales; Desulfuromonadaceae
Description: partial 16S ribosomal RNA
Rfam family: Bacterial small subunit ribosomal RNA
Source: RNAcentral